UUUGUACACAUAUCAAAUUUUUUAAACUUGUCAGAUUUUAAUACAAAUAGCCAUUUAAUUAUUGCCUACCGCAAAAAAAAUAAAAGAAAAAAAUAACAUAAUAAUAAUCAUCUUACAUCGAUCCAAUUUAUAUUUGCUAAUACCACAACAAACACGACAUUUUUUUAACAUUGUAUUUGAUUAUUCACAUAUAUAAAUUAAUAUUAAAAAGCAAAAACUAUUAUAACUUAUAAAACUUAAAAUCAUGAAGAUUUUUUAUUUUUUUUAAUUUUCUAAAAAAUAAGGCUUAGUUCAUACUAAACAUAAUUUGUUAAAACAAUUAUAAAAAAAAAAAAAGCUUUAAUGGUAGAAACAGGCUUCGAGUGCUUCUCUAAUUAUAUAUAACAAUUUUUUUUGCAAGUUUUUCUUUAGUUUAUACUAUUUUUUUACAUUGAAAGUACAUUUUUUUUUUUUACAAAACCUUUUACGUCAUCAUUUCUAGCAUUAAAAAUAUAUUUGUUCCAUUGUUUAUUGAUAAAAUUAUAAAACUAUACAAUUUGUGUUAUUAAAAUUAUUUAAAUUAAAAUAUAAUUAAAAAAACAUGAUACAGUUGAUAAAAUAAAUUAGUAAUAGCAUAAAUCAUUACCACAUCACAAUUUAUAAUAAAAAAAUGUUUACCAUAAAUUAUAAAAUAAUUAUUAUUCCAUUAUUUAUAUGGGCAUGGACUAAUAACAACAGGGCCUACUUAAAAAACAUAUGGAACACUGAGCAUAAUAGAUCUUUGGCUCAACAUUGUACCUCUACAAGCGGACUUAAAAAACAUCAACAUUUAAAAAAACAUGAUGACAUAUACGAUUUUUCUAAACAUUUUGAACAAUGUAUUAUUAGAGAUCGAGAUCAAGAUCAAGAUCCAGAAAAGGAUGCUCUUAAAAUUGAUGAACAUUGUCCAAAUAAAUUAGUUCUUUUAAAUGAUAUUAAAAAAGAGUUAAUUAAAAUAUUAAAUAGACGACAGGAUCAUCUAUUAAAGGAUAUACUAAAAAAAAAAAAAAAAAUACACGAUAAGAAUGUACUACAAAUAUAUGACCAUAUUAAACAUGCCAUUUCAAGUGAAGAAUAUUUACAAAUUAUAAAUGAAAGUCGUGAAUCAUUAAAAAGUAAAAGUUUUGACUAUAAUGACAUUUCUGAAACAUAUUACAACAAUAUAUUACAUUUAUUGAAUACAUAUUUCUAUCUUACAAACAGUAAAAAAGAUUUUAAAAAACGCUUUAUGCAAUUACAACAAGAUGCUCACGACGAACCAAUAUUUAAAACUAAAAGUUUCAAAGCGAAAUAUUUAAAUAUAUUUAAACUCACUAAAAAAAUAGAUAAAGAAAUGAAAACUAUGUUAUUUAAGCAAAUACUAAAGGAAAAAAACUGAUACAAAUAAAAAAAAUUCUUUUAAAAUUAAUGUUAAGAUU
RNAcentral lists this long non-coding RNA (1436 nucleotides) under Piliocolobus tephrosceles (Ugandan red Colobus). RNAcentral describes it as "lncRNA (ENSPTEG00000000536.1)". Lineage: Eukaryota; Metazoa; Chordata; Mammalia; Primates; Cercopithecidae. The record is from RNAcentral.